AGUGAACGCUGGCGGCGUGCUUAACACAUGCAAGUCGAACGAGAACGGGUUAUAGCUUGCUAUAAUUGUCAGCUAAGUGGCGCACGGGUGAGUAAUGUAUAGGUAAUAUGCCUCUUACUAAGGGAUAACAAAUGGAAACGUUUGCUAAUACCUUAUACUCCUUAUUAACAGAAGUUAAUAAGGGAAAGAUUUAUUGGUAAGAGAUUAGCCUGUAUUGUAUCAGUUAGUUGGUGGGGUAAUGGCUUACCAAGACUAUGACACAUAACUGGUUUGAGAGGAUGAGCAGUCACACUGGAACUGGGACACGGUCCAGACUCCUACGGGAGGCAGCAGUGGGGAAUAUUGCACAAUGGACGAAAGUCUGAUGCAGCAACGCCGCGUGGAGGAUGACACAUUUCGGUGCGUAAACUCCUUUUAUAUGAGAAGAUAAUGACGGUAUUAUAUGAAUAAGCACCGGCUAACUACGUGCCAGCCGCCGCGGUAA
This 484-nucleotide ribosomal RNA is filed under the name uncultured bacterium. RNAcentral's name for it is "partial 16S ribosomal RNA". It matches the Rfam family "Bacterial small subunit ribosomal RNA", at positions 29 to 523 of the family's 1533-position model. The record is from RNAcentral.